Molecule: non-coding RNA, 535 nt
Organism: Hipposideros armiger (great roundleaf bat)
Lineage: Eukaryota; Metazoa; Chordata; Mammalia; Chiroptera; Hipposideridae
Source: the annotation of a RefSeq genome assembly
GCCUACAAGGACAGUGACAUCACAAUGGUGACAUCACAGGCAAGCCCUCCAAUUAGAGCAAAGGGAGGCGCACAACUUCUGUUCUCACCAGAAAGACCAGAGCCCCGCAUAAGGAGAUGGCCAGCCUUACCCUGUCUGCAUCUGCCAGGGGCACCCGGCUCCUCUGCUGCGUGGCCCUCUGUCUCCUGGAGGCAGGUUCAGUGGAUGUUGGAGUCACCCAGUCCCCAAGACACCUCAUCAAACGCCGUGAGGGGAAGGCCGUUCUGACAUGCCACCCCAUGUCUGGACACAAUACUGUGUCCUGGUACCAGCAGGCUCAGGGGCAGGGCCCCCAGUUCCUCAUUCAGUAUUAUGAGAAGGAGGAGAGAGAGAAAGGAAACAUCCCUGAUCGCUUCUCAGCUCAACAGUUCAACAACUACAGCUCAGAGCUGACCAUGAACAACUUGCAGCUGGAAGACUCAGCUGUGUAUCUCUGUGCCAGCAGCUUAGACACAGCCCUGCAGGGUUAAUGCCUUUCUGUACUCAAACCUUCCUG